UUUUUUUUUUUUUUGUCCUUUCUUUAGUUAUAGUCAGUCUACGAAGAAUCCAGUAUGAUUAAUUCAAGCACGGCUGAUAAGUUGAUUGAAGCAGAGGAGGGGACAGAUGGAAAUGAGGAGAACAUCGCCACUUCAGCUUCAAGCCCUUGAGAAAUUCCAUGCUGGUGGUAGUGGUAUUUCAAGCAGAGCAGAAGUAUCCUACUCGUAUAGCUAUUGAAGAACUUGCUGCAGUCUUGGGCUUGACAUUGAAGCCGGUCCAGGGAUGGUUUAUUGAGUGAUGGUUUAUUGAGCAGGUCUAGGGAUGGUUUAUGUCUACUGAACCCCUCUGUUUGAGAAAGAAACUUUUAGUUGUUAAAGGAAGAAAAGGGUUGCGAGUUGCCUUUGCUAAUAGAAAGAUACAUAAACAGCAGGACAGCCUGAUUAUGGAUGCAUCUUCAGAGGCUUCAGACAGGAUUCAUAAAAAUAAGAGGAAGAAGUUUGCAUUGCAAGCUGAACCACCUUUGCUUCUGAAAAGAAUCACCGUGUUGCAUUUCUGGUCUGAACUCGGGCGGUCGAGCAAUAUAUACAAGUUUUUGUAGAGCAGAGCUUUGAUAUUUCCAAUUUUUUACUAUUGCUGUGCUAUGGCAGUCAAUUAGAUUAUGUACAGCAUUAAAAUAGAUAUCCAUAAUCAGGAAAUUUUAGUUUUUGAUACAUAUUUUUACCAUGACCUUUAGUAGCAAAAAUAACAUCGAUUCCCUUGUUUUCUUGUAGAAAAAGGAUAUUUUUGCUACUUCAGGUAUUUGGUUGAAUCAAAUUUUGUGAAUGUAUGCUUGACAGUCCAAUUAUUUUGAGGGAAAAUAAAAUGUUGUCAAUGUAGAGAAUACAAUGCUGAAGCUUACUUUUUCUUUAGGAGUUGUCUACUCCUUGCAUCUCUCUUCUACUAUAUAUAUGUGUGUGUGUGUGUACUUAUAACAAUGCCUAUAUAAAUUAAACAAUUAAUUAACUAAAGCAAAAAGUAAAAUAAUCAAAUCAACAAUAAAUUAAUAAUUCCUAUA
Molecule: unclassified non-coding RNA, 1034 nt
Filed under: Hevea brasiliensis (rubber tree)
Lineage: Eukaryota; Viridiplantae; Streptophyta; Magnoliopsida; Malpighiales; Euphorbiaceae
Source: RNAcentral